This 528-nucleotide ribosomal RNA is filed under the name Bifidobacterium longum subsp. infantis. RNAcentral describes it as "bacterial SSU rRNA". It matches the Rfam family "Bacterial small subunit ribosomal RNA", at positions 157 to 700 of the family's 1533-position model. Lineage: Bacteria; Bacillati; Actinomycetota; Actinomycetes; Bifidobacteriales; Bifidobacteriaceae. RNAcentral also lists the same sequence under 1 other name. The record is from RNAcentral.
CGGGUGGUAAUGCCGGAUGUUCCAGUUGAUCGCAUGGUCUUCUGGGAAAGCUUUCGCGGUAUGGGAUGGGGUCGCGUCCUAUCAGCUUGACGGCGGGGUAACGGCCCACCGUGGCUUCGACGGGUAGCCGGCCUGAGAGGGCGACCGGCCACAUUGGGACUGAGAUACGGCCCAGACUCCUACGGGAGGCAGCAGUGGGGAAUAUUGCACAAUGGGCGCAAGCCUGAUGCAGCGACGCCGCGUGAGGGAUGGAGGCCUUCGGGUUGUAAACCUCUUUUAUCGGGGAGCAAGCGUGAGUGAGUUUACCCGUUGAAUAAGCACCGGCUAACUACGUGCCAGCAGCCGCGGUAAUACGUAGGGUGCAAGCGUUAUCCGGAAUUAUUGGGCGUAAAGGGCUCGUAGGCGGUUCGUCGCGUCCGGUGUGAAAGUCCAUCGCUUAACGGUGGAUCCGCGCCGGGUACGGGCGGGCUUGAGUGCGGUAGGGGAGACUGGAAUUCCCGGUGUAACGGUGGAAUGUGUAGAUAUCGG